CCGUUACUCCCUCAAAAUCUAUGUAUCUCCAAGAGUAGUCUUUGUACUUCUAAGCCUUUUGCCGGUCUUGGGUCUUAGGUAUUAGAUCUUGGAUCUUUCUUCUUCCUCACGGUGCGAUGACUAUCAACUCCCCGUCAAUAUGUCAAGGACUUGGGUCUUAGAACGAAGAUCACCUCACUUCACUUCACCUCACUGCAAAAGUUAGAAUACAAUAUCUACGAAAAUAUCCUUUGUUUAAAAAAAGAUUUGGUUCCGCAAUGUCAAUCCAAUAACCACGGUUAAUUAUAAUGAUCAAUCGAUUAUAACACCAAUAUAAGAGUGGUUAGUGUAACAAUUUAUAUCUCGCGGAAAAUAUAAAUAGUUGAUUUUAGUACUGAGCACGUCACGCAAGGAGGGCGCGCUACAAGUAUGACUAAUUAGUGUUGGGUGAUAUAUAAGUAUAUAGUGUAGUUAAUAAUCACACCCACACACACGAGAUCGAGAAAUAAACAAGUAACCACGUAACUUGUUCGGUUAGUACCCCACGAUAGCGGAAAGGCCCGAACGGGGUUUUUCACCAAAACAAGCAAAAUCACAUCCGCACACACGUUCGAGAAAUAAACACGUAAACCACGUAACUUAUCUUAAUGAUAUCCCCACCAAGCACAGGGCUGAAAAAUGGGUGUCUCACUAAAACAAGAAGGGUAUGGGAGUGAUGGGAAUGGGAGCACAAAUUAUGAGUUAGUGAGCAAGUAAAGUUAGUGCACAAAAUUCCCGAUAAUAACGAGUGGCCAACUCGCUUAUUAUGAAAUCAAAAGAGAGCUUUAAGAUGAAGAGAAUGUUUUGUAUAAAAGCCCUUUGAAAAUGGUCGGUUAAGACACGAAUAAAAUGAAGCUAAAAAUAAACCACUUACACGAUUUUUGCAAAAAGUUCGCCGGAAAAAUUCGUCGGAGGUUCGAUACAACUUUAAGUACACGAACGAAUUUGGGCAGCCCUUCGGGAGGUGUGAAAGAGUGGUUAAAGAAUAUGCUAAGAUGAACGAGGCUUGGUUGAAUGGAAACAAAGCUUCGGGGUUUAAACCUUGUGUAUAUCGAAGUAUAUGAUGAAUCGAAGGUUUAAAAACAAAGUGAAAGAAGUGAGCACUUGAAUAGACUUUGGGAGAGGGUUUG
This 1148-nucleotide long non-coding RNA is filed under the name Daucus carota (carrot). Its description in RNAcentral is "long non-coding RNA (DCAR_LNC002162)". Lineage: Eukaryota; Viridiplantae; Streptophyta; Magnoliopsida; Apiales; Apiaceae. The record is from RNAcentral.